AUAGAUGAUUAACAUUUUUGUCAUAUAUAUAUUUUGAUCUCUACUUUUUUUUCAUACACAUUGUACAUUUUUUGUAUAUAUUAGCAUCAUUUUUCUAUACAUAUGCAGAAUUAACAUUUUCAAUUCUGUAUGUAAAGUGAUUUUAUAGUAGAUAUAUUUAGAAUAUUUCGGAAUAUAAGCAAAAGUAGAAAAAAUAAAGCAAAAAUGCAAAAAAUGUGAAAACAAAACGCGUAAUGCCCUACCAUUCUUCCCGCUGGGCCGGCUCAUUUCGGGAGCUGCUUGACGCGAGGACAUAAGCACCCCUCAAAAACAAAAAAAACCGAGACAUAAGCAAUUUCGUAUAGUCGCGCCCCUCUCUUUGCUGCCUCUACCGCCACGCCAUCGCUCCAGGCUGCCGGCGAGUCGCCACUCCACCGCGCUCACCGGAGGUGCCUCCAGCCUCCUCCUCGCAUGCCGCAACACUCGCGCCGCAUCCUCGCUUACACGCUCGCCCCGUCCCAUGCUCGCCCCUCCGACGCAAUGUGCCGGCCUCUCGUGUGCUCAGCGCCGGCGCGCUCAGGGCGUUUGGCGAAAUGCCGACCCAGAUGCCGGUUCUUGGACUGCGGGUGGACUCGUGGAGCAGGCGCGCUCUGAAGCGUGGGCGUAUGUGCCGCGUGCAGGGCGGCGAGGCGGGUGGUUUCUUGGCCGCGGGCAAUCCUUGGACAUGGAGAAGGAGAAGAUGUGUUUAAAGGGCAGUCUGGUGGACGGAGCUCCCGCUUGCGCAGCGUUCGGGGAAGGGCCCGACAACUUUGGGCCUAUUGUACACAGCCUUUUCCUACAUUUCUGUAAGAGACUGUUUCGGAACAACCCGUGACCUCAUGGUCACAACUCACAAGGCAACAGCUUUACCACUGCGCCAAGGCUCCCCUUCAGAAGAUGUGUUUUUGAAAGGAAAAUAAAAACAGUUGGGUAACGACUUGCAGAAUAUUCUGAAAGGUGCUUGCGAUGGAGAGCAAGCAUCGGUGUCUCAGUCCGUAUGUGGACAAACCCAGGCAAGAAGAAGUGCAAUAUUGUUGCUUGAUGGACAAGGUGGAUGGUUGACUUACUGUUGCUGGGUGAUCUGUCCUCUCUUCCAUCCUCUUGAUUUACUAACCCUCAUCACGCGAGCUUCAUCUGAUGCUUACCUUUGCCUUUUGAUUCUCCUGCUCCACUGGCGCACUAUUAUAUUGUGAACCAUGGACUGUGACGCUUUGUGGCUAUCAACUGAAUUUGGAAGGGGUUCAAACUUUAAAGUAAUCUGGGUAACGUGUGAGGGCUGGCUGGCAGGCUAGUUGAUCACUUGGCUCUGAUGAUGCUCGUGUGGUCAUGGUCUUUUGAGACAGAACCAUGUAUUAAUCUCUACUGCUUUAUUAUCUUAAAAAUUAUCUGAGUUGGUAGCGGUCCGUUCACCCUCAUCGAGAUUAUCUAUUGAGUUAUUAACAUUACCAGAUGCCAACUGCUAUGUGGACAUAAUAUUGAUUCAACUGUUGUAUACAUUGAGAUAAUUAUUAAAUUUUGCAUAAAGUUAUGGAUUAUGAUAA
Molecule: long non-coding RNA, 1559 nt
Organism: Aegilops tauschii subsp. strangulata
Lineage: Eukaryota; Viridiplantae; Streptophyta; Magnoliopsida; Poales; Poaceae
Source: RefSeq, a predicted model, not a curated record